Haliotis rubra (blacklip abalone) is the source of this 4802-nucleotide long non-coding RNA. RefSeq lists it as uncharacterized. Lineage: Eukaryota; Metazoa; Mollusca; Gastropoda; Lepetellida; Haliotidae. The record is from RefSeq and is a predicted model, not a curated record. The transcript has 2 exons.
UCAAAGAAGUUUCUUCUAGAUCUACGGAACGAAUCAUGGGUAAUAUUUAGGGGAAUCCCCAACUUAAUGAAGGUUUUUCUAUCUCACCUACUGAAGAGCUCGCUAUCCUAGCAAGGAUAGGUAGCACAAGUUAAGACAGGGAUAGGAUCGUUUCGAGAAUGGGGCUUAUCCUAACGGUAGGAUGUCCUAACUCCUGUCUUAACUACUUAGGAUCUGUCUUAGCUGGGACACUUUCGAGAAUAGGGGCCCUGAUCAUUUACUCCAAUUCAUAAGCUUUCUAAAUGAUUGACAAUCUUUCCAAAUGGAUCACAAUUACCACUGUCAGGGCGGCCAAUAUGGCAAUGAAGACAAAUUUUUAUGGAACUUGACAUCUAACUAAAACAUAAAUCUUUCAUUUUGAUUGGACAAUCAGUUUUGCUCUGGGUUUACCUAUAUGGAUAGUUUGUCAGAUCUUGAUAAGGAGGGGUAUCAAAUCCCGAUGACUAGGGGAAUCAAAUCCUGAUAACUAGAGGUAUCAAAUCCCGAUGAAGAGGGUAUCCAAUCCAGAUAAGGAGUUGUAUCAAAUCAUGAUAACUUGGGGUAUUGAAUCAUGAUGAAGAGGGUAUAAAAUCCUGAUGAGGAGGGGUAUCAAAUCCUAAUCAAAAGGGGUAUCUGAUCAAAUCAAAUCAGAUUAACGACCUGAUGUGAAUGAACUUGUUCCUCCAGAUAGCACUGAAGACAGUCGAGUCCCACCACUAUGGCCAGUAUCAGAGCAAUCCAUUUAAACUGCCAUAUAAGUCAUUCUGUCAAUGUUGCCUAAGUUUAUCCCUGUGAAAUAUACCUGUAUGGAUUAUAUGGACAGGUAGACACUAUCUGGUUAGUCACAGCACUUUCUUUACUAGUGGUUCAGUAACACAGCCAGGUUUUAGGAAAAACAGUUAGUCCAGAUAUUGUCAGGUCUUGGACUGACAAGCUAGUGCUUGUAAUGCCAUAAAAUUCAUAUGUAAUUAUUGUGAAAUGAAUGUAAUCGUACAGAAAUAAAAUCAUUCUAGACCCAAUUCAGAGGUUGUAUUUUCAGACAGGAUAUCAUUGAUGGUCGGUCCAACAAGGAAAUAUCUUGUUAUAUCUGAUCACUUGAUCUUGCUCAUAAAUCCAGUAUUCUCAACGAGUCCUCUUAUUUGAAAUAUCUUCCAGCUCGUGUUGAAACUAGGAUACAUGUAAUGUCAUUUCAAUUAUGGCUGUGUAUUGGCUGAACAAUUGUGGCGAGGUAUUGGGUGCUAACGUGUUUGACACUCAUUGACACUUACUGUACAUGCAGAUCCUAUUUCAAUAUACUAAAGUAAAUAUUCCUUAGCAUGGUCAGACGUUCCCAUUUUGUAGUCAUGGAUACAGGGGAGAUAACAAUGUGAGAGAACAGUCACUUCAGUGUUUCCUGUCAUUUUUAAGGGAAACUUUGUGAAUAUUUUGUGUAGAUUUUAGGUUAGAUAAUAUAAAUGUUAACAAACUUGUGCAUGUAUUUUUAUACUGUUUUUCCAAUAUAUAUACAGAAAACAAAAAUAUUACAAAACUGGCUAGAAAGAAAACGUGAAGUAUUGGUAACUGGGCAGAUCCUUGUUUCUCACUUUUGACACUAAGUGGGAAACAGCUGAUGUUUGUCUACGUUGACUGUAACUAGAGGUGACGAGAGUUGCGGAUUGUUAACUGGCGAUUGUUCGCUGCAAUUAGAAUUUAUGGAUAUUGGUCAUAUGGACAAGGUGCCAUACUCAGAUCAAAAUUCCUGGUUCAAAUCCCACCAUGACAAACAGAUGAUUACCUUUAUCCAGAUGAUACAGUUAAUAUUGCUAAUGAUGAUUUGUUUUAAAUUACUGUUUCAGUCUGAAUUAUCUCAAAUUACAAAACUUGAGGGUUUCAGAGUAUGUACCACCCCUACCUAUCUGAAGUGUGAUAAACUUAUGUGAGGUGCUUCAAGAGCUCUGUGUGACUGAAAGAGGUGCUUCAGGAGCUAUGUGUGACUGAAAGAGGUGCUUCAAGAGCUGUGUUAUGCUGAGAGAGGUGCUUCAAGAGGUGUGAGAUAGAUGUUCUUCAUUAACUGUAUAACUGAAGAAGGUGCUUAAAGAGCUGUAUGUGAAUAAAGGGGUGCUUUGAGAGCUGUUAUGAGAGAGGUGCUUCAAGAGGUGUGAGAUAGAUGUUCUUCAGUAACUGUAUGACUGAAGAAGGUGCUUAAAGAGCUGUAUGUGAAUAAAGGGGUGCUUUGAGAGCUGUUAUGAUGAGAGAGGUGCUUCAAGAGGAGUGUGAAUGAUAGCAAGUCUCAUGACAUUCCUUUCAUGUGGUCUCAUACAGCAUUUGAAAUAACUGCCGGCAUGCUGUCCCGUGGCUAGUAGUUUUCUGUUGGGGCCAGUCAUCUUUCGAACCCAGUAUCCCACCUGUACAGUGACAGGGUGAUGUGAUAAAGCUGGAAAAUUGAUGUUGAGUGGGCAUGAACAUUAAGGUCAGUGCUAGGUGUUAACAAGGUCAGAUUUUAUGACAUUUUCUAUCAGUUUCCUUUAGUCACGUGUUUGAAUCCCAUAUUUAGUAGAAUUUUAUGGUUUGCCUGCACCAUAUUUAAGGUGUGAGUUUCACCACUGACGUCCAGUUGUACAGCUCAUCAGUUUGAACUUUCUCCCAAUGCAUACUGAAUAUAAAGCGGUUUUAAACCCAGUUCACUCACUCACUGACAUCUGAACUCACCAGGGAUCAUCUCUCAUCUUUCAUGUAAAGAAUAAACCCAUCACAGUCACUGAAGAGCUGUCGCCAUGGGCUAUACAGUCUUUUUGCCAUGGCCUUUCAUUACAGAAAUACUGUUCAAAGUGGCAUUAAACCCAACUCCCUCACUCACUCAGACAACAAGUCUUCCCAAUCUGAUUUUCAAAUUUACGAUCACAUUCGUAGUUGGGUUUUUUGUGACAGUGCGUGUUUGUUAAUACUUGUGCGUGAAAAGAGCUAACCAUUCCUGUUGUUGUGGUUGCUGGUUGCCAAAAUUCGGACAAUUUGCAGGUGAAAAAAAAUCCAAGCACUGAUGAUAUUCUGAUAUGGUAGGAAGUCGCGGAGUUAAAAAUUGUUUAAUACCAUGGUAACAGGCGUUUUUGUGAUGGGUUUCUCUGACAACUCGGCAUGUUGCUUUAAUGCAUACAUUCAACAUUGACAUUAAGACAUAAAUGAAAAGAUGAGUAUACACCUAUAGAAAGUAACAUGGUCCUAUAUGGGGAUAUAUAAUUGGGUGAACACUUCCCCAAAAUAUCCAUGGUCCAAAACCUUUGCUUUUUGUUAUUAAUGUAUAUAAAAUAGGUCUAGGUUUGAUAACCCAUGUGGGUAAAGCAUAUGAAGCCUAUUUCUUGGGGGCGGUGGGGUAGCCUAGUGGUUGAAGUGUUCGCACGUCGUGCUGAAGACCUGAGUUCGAUUCCCAACAUGGGCACAAUGUGUGAUGCCCAUGCCUGGUGCCCCUCGCCAUGAUAUUAUGGAAUAUUGCUAAAAGCGGCGUAAAACCCAACUAACUAUUUCUCAUGUAAUUAUCACAAUAUUGCUAAUACAAGCUUAAAACCAUACCUACGCACUUUUAAUGGUAUUUAUUUAAUUCCUGAUAAAUUUAUUUGUUUUGUGUAUUACGUGUCAUAAUGAAAUAAGGAAAACAACUUGACAAUUUUGUUACACCUCUGUGACAUUAGUGAUUAAGACUCUCUUCUCAUCAAUACGGUUUCACUUUGGAAGGUAUUUUUUAAUUUCUGACAAAAUCAAGUAUUUUUGUCUAAAAGGUUUAUAUUGAAAUAAAGAAACCAGCACCUAUGGCCUUAUGGUGGUAAUGAUUGGACCGCUUUGCUAAUAUGCUGUUAUUCAGCACUACCCAAUAGUGGUACAGUUUUCAUGAGAGGUGCAUGGUAUUCUCGUGGGUAUCAGUCUCACCUUAGACAUACAGAUGUUAUCUGAAUGAGCUCAGUGUAUUUGAUAUACUUCCAAACUAUGUUUAAGUUAAAGAAAUAUAAAAUAUGGUUUACUGAUUUACAAUAUGUAAGGAUUCAUUCUCUGUUGAAAGUGGACCGGCUUACAUUCAUGAUAUAUAUACUUUACAUAGGGAUUUUAUCUUUCCAUGAUAUACAAAACUGAGAGGGCAAGUGUAAAUUUAUGUACAAUAUAUAGUUAAUGAUGAAUAUGCCAUAAACAGACAAAAAAUAAAAAUAAACAAAACUGGCCGUGCUAUUGCUGGAAUAUUGCUAAAAGUGGCGUAUAACUAAACUCACUGUGUUUACUGGGCCUUGUUUUACAAGAAGUCGUGGCACAUAGAUGAAUGUAAGUAUGUGAUCAAUUAUCGCAGUCUUAAGUCUCCCCCAAACUGUUCAUUGUUUAUAACAUUUUUGGUUCAGCGGAGAACAAAGAUAUAACACACUGGAUAAUUGAGGUUGUUUGAAGUCAUAAAAAAUCAAAUCUUGACUGUUAAUACCUUCUGAGAACUGAUGUGUUGGUGCAUCUUUCACAUUGCAAAAUAUCAAGUCAGGUGUGAUGGCAGCUGUUUCUCUGUUUUAUGUGAAAGUCAUCAUUGCAGAACCCAUCGUAAUUGUUUGUAAAUGUGUGGAGCUUUGUGAGUAUGUACGUUGGCAGCAAGGCAGCCGUAAUGUCGUUGGAACAAGUUAGUUAUUUCACAUGAGUUUAUGUUUGGGCAAAUGCUUGGAUGAUCCAAGUGAAUGUUUGUGUUUGACUAUCACAGUGUCCAUUUUGAUCAAAAGCUGUGUUGAAUUAAAACAUGUUGACAAUGAAAUUGUCAGUUUUACAAGUGAAUAAAUCUAAAAGUAAAA